UACGGGGGGGGCAAGCGUUGUUCGGAAUUACUGGGCGUAAAGGGCUCGUAGGUGGCCAACUAAGUCAGACGUGAAAUCCCUCAGCUUAACUGGGGAACUGCGUCUGAUACUGGAUGGCUUGAGUUUGGGAGAGGGAUGCGGAAUUCCAGGUGUAGCGGUGAAAUGCGCAGAUAUCGGGAGGAACACCGGUGGCGAAGGCGGUUCUCUGGGCCUUACCUGACGCUGAGGAGCGAAAGCGUGGGGAGCGAACAGG
This 253-nucleotide ribosomal RNA is filed under the name uncultured bacterium. Its description in RNAcentral is "partial 16S ribosomal RNA". It matches the Rfam family "Bacterial small subunit ribosomal RNA", at positions 524 to 776 of the family's 1533-position model. The record is from RNAcentral.